Molecule: small RNA, 28 nt
Filed under: Bombyx mori (domestic silkworm)
Lineage: Eukaryota; Metazoa; Arthropoda; Insecta; Lepidoptera; Bombycidae
Description: ovarian small RNA-4457
Source: RNAcentral
ACUACGUAUGCUCAUAAGCCUAGGUUGG